RNAcentral lists this ribosomal RNA (425 nucleotides) under uncultured bacterium. RNAcentral's name for it is "bacterial SSU rRNA". It matches the Rfam family "Bacterial small subunit ribosomal RNA", at positions 356 to 773 of the family's 1533-position model. The record is from RNAcentral.
GGGGAAUUUUGGACAGUGGGCGAAAGCCUGAUCCAGCAAUGCCGCGUGAGUGAAGAAGGCCUUCGGGUUGUAAAGCUCUUUUGUCAGGGAAGAAACGGUGAGGGCUAAUAUCCCUUACUAAUGACGGUACCUGAAGAAUAAGCACCGGCUAACUACGUGCCAGCAGCCGCGGUAAUACGUAGGGUGCAAGCGUUAAUCGGAAUUACUGGGCGUAAAGCGUGCGCAGGCGGUUUUGUAAGUCUGACGUGAAAUCCCCGGGCUCAACCUGGGAAUUGCGUUGGAGACUGCAAGGCUAGAAUCUGGCAGAGGGGGGUAGAAUUCCACGUGUAGCAGUGAAAUGCGUAGAGAUGUGGAGGAACACCGAUGGCGAAGGCAGCCCCCUGGGUAAAGAUUGACGCUCAUGCACGAAAGCGUGGGGAGCAAAC